This 35-nucleotide unclassified non-coding RNA is filed under the name Sorangium cellulosum So ce56. Its description in RNAcentral is "sce_Cardiovirus_CRE_25". The record is from RNAcentral. Lineage: Bacteria; Pseudomonadati; Myxococcota; Polyangiales; Polyangiaceae.
CGCCGUCAACGCAGCCGGCCGACGGCGUCGCGACG